RNAcentral lists this ribosomal RNA (304 nucleotides) under uncultured Pseudomonas sp. RNAcentral's name for it is "bacterial SSU rRNA". It matches the Rfam family "Bacterial small subunit ribosomal RNA", at positions 1084 to 1382 of the family's 1533-position model. Lineage: Bacteria; Pseudomonadati; Pseudomonadota; Gammaproteobacteria; Pseudomonadales; Pseudomonadaceae. The record is from RNAcentral.
GUCCGCACGAACGCAACCCUUCGUGUUUAGUUGCACCGGCGUGAUAAACGUCGAGCACUCUAAACAGACUGCCCGUGACAAGCGGGAGGAAGGUGGGGGAGUGACGUCAAGUCAGUAUGGCCCUUACGCCCAGGGCUGCACACGUGCUACAAUGGCCGGUACAGAGGGCUGCAAGACCGCGAGGUGGAGCAAAUCCCAUAAAACCGAUCGUAGUCCGGAUCGCAGUCCGCAACUCGACUGCGUGAAGUCGGAAUCGCUAGUAAUCGUGAAUCAGAAUGUCACGGUGAAUACGUUCCCGGGCCUU